GGCCUUCACAUCUGGGUGCAUGCUCAUCUCUCAUUCAAUUUCUCAGUUUGCAACUAAAUUUCCUUUUAUAUGCCCACACCUCGGGGUCACACAGCUGGAGCAAGCAGGCAUUGGUCCAACUCGAGCACCUGCAAAGAAAGUCUUGCCAUCGGAGAACAAGGUAAGUGUUCUCCGAUAGAGAACUCUCCGAUGAUUAAGUCAGUGAU
Molecule: long non-coding RNA, 206 nt
Filed under: Elaeis guineensis (African oil palm)
Lineage: Eukaryota; Viridiplantae; Streptophyta; Magnoliopsida; Arecales; Arecaceae
Description: long non-coding RNA (EGUI_LNC019699)
Source: RNAcentral